GUGGGGGUGGCGGGCCGGCGCGGGGGCGACGGCGCGUGCGGGGGCUGGGCGCCUGCGGGAGGCGUGCGGCCGCAGGGUUCCGUGCCGCCGAGUGUCUACGUCCGUGUGCGCGCCCGUGCGCCGCCGGGCAGCGCCGGCCGUGGGCGCCCGAGCCAGCCCGGGGGCGCGAUAAGCCGUGGGGCUAACAGAGGCGUUCGGCGAGGCUGGCCGCGGCGCGCGCACACGCACCACCGAGCUUCACCGACUCGGCCCCCGCGCGGGGGGCGGGCCGAGGGCGGGCCGGGCGGGGGCGACGGCCACGGCCCAGGGUGAGCGACUGCCCGUCGCCCGCCUUCCUUCAGCCACCUGAGGGGACUGCACGCAGCUCGUCAUCUCUGGGGUGCUGGCGUGAGUCCCUCGAGGUCCGGCGGCGACUGUAAAUAGAGUCUGGAUGUUGUUUACAUGAAGGAUCCGGCGGGAGGAGUCUGCAAGGAGGAGGCGGAGGAGGAGGAGGGAGGUAGGAGAGAGGAAGACCGGAGUCCCCGCGGCGGCAGCGGUCCGGGGUGAGGGCCGAAAAGAGUCCUUUCCCUCACUCUGCUGCCCAGUCACCAGAAGCCACCUUCUUGGACAAGGACCACACCUGUGCUUAUUCCAGCUUUGGAGGAGAGAUGUAGAAUAGAGGAUCUGAGAAAAGUGAACUCUGCAGAAAAGAGGAGUAUAAUUGUGUUUCUGGAACAGCCCCUGGCUCUACCAUUGGAGGUCAGUGCAAGUCUUUGGUGUUGCCCCCUUUAGCUGCCUAUUAAGGGAAUUUGAGAAUUUAAGACCCAGCAUUUUUAAAUGGCACUGCUGCAGUAAUGAGAUCAUGAGUUAAUUGGAGACAGAGUUUUUAGAGAUGGGUAGCUAGGGGUGGGUCAUUCUGACUAGUUUCUCUAAAAGGGUAUAAUGCCGAGGUGAAAUCAGAGUAAAAGUAACUUGUGAGCAGACUGUAAAACCCAAACUGGGGGGAAAAUAGGAUGUAGAACAAAAGCAGAAAGUAAAAUAACUGUGUAGUAGACAGGUGGGCUAAAAGUGUGCACGCUGAGUGAAUGUGUAAGGGGUAAGAGCCUACAUAACAGAAUAUGGGCCGGUCCAUUUAUUUGUGAAUUUUAGUCUCCUGGAGCCUUUGUGAGCAAGAAAGCACGUCCCUCUUUCUGUCUGUACAUUGUUGUGUACAUAGGUCUUUUCCUCCAGAUGGACCUGCUAUAAGUUAUGGAGCAUGAGACUGUUCAGAGAUAUCUGUCAAGUUUUACACCUAUUGAAGUAACUUGAGAACUUAUGAUUGACAUGGAAAAAAAAAACAAGUGAAUCAUGGUUUUCCUAAGAUGGUAUUCUAAAGCCUGGAUUCAAAAGUAAGAAUCAUCCCUGAAAUAACUUCAGGGUACAUCUCAAAGAUACAGUUAAUUUCAAAGCAUGUGAUUUUUUUCAAGAAGGCAUUCCAGAGGUGGUCAGUGAUUCCUGCACCACUGUAAUUGUAGGGCUGGCACUGACUGCAGUGACAACCCCCGGCAGGUUUGCUCAACGUGUAAUCAUCAGUGUCAUCAACUCGAGUACGUUCUUAGCACUCAGAAUAAGAACAGUGUCACUUUUUUUACUAACGUACAUUUCUUAAAUCACAAAACCCAUACUAGUUUCUGCUCUAUGAGAUGAGAUACUCCAAAAAACUAAAAACCUUAAGCAAAAAGUAGAUGUUUUCAGAAAUCUUUUUGCUUGUAUAAAUUGUGCAAUCUGAAUACCCAGUUGACAGAGUUGAAUGGCCAGAUUGGGGUAGAGGAAAAAAAGCCCUAGGCUUAGUCUUAAGACAUGGAUUUGAGCCCAGGUUCACCAUAACUUAGGGCAUGGUCUCAGAUAAAAUACCUAACCUCUAUAGGUUUUUAUUUUUUAUCUGUAAUAUGUGCUAAUGAUAUCUAACCCACUUUCAGAAUCCUUUUUUGAUGAAAUAACGAAUAAAUUCAUUGUCAACCUAAUAGGGUUCUUGUGGAAAACCAAAUGAGAAAGCACAUAGAAAAUUAUUGAAUGUCAGGCAAAAGUGAAGAAUUAUUGCUAUGUUUGGGAGCAUUUUGAGAACAGGGACCAUGUCUGAUUUACCUUUUUUUUUUUUAAAUCCUCAGUUGAGGAUAUGUUUUUUACUGAUUUUAAAGAGGGAGAGAGAAACAUCAAUCAUUUGCCUCCCACAGGCAACCCCAACUGAGGGCUGAACCCUCACCUAAAUAUGUGCCCUGACUGGGAAUAGAACCUGUAACCUUUUGGUGUAGGGGACAGUGCUCCAGCCAACUGAGCACCUAGCCAGGGCCAUGUCUUACUUGUCUUAAUUACUUAAGUAUCCAGAAGAGGUCUUGGAACAUUGUAGUCCCUCAAUAAAUAUUUGUUUCAUGAAUGAUUGAGGUCAGGGAUAGAGUCAGUGAAUGUGUGCAUGAAAGAAAUACAUUGUGAAAUAAGCUGCAACGCUUACUGUAUAGUCAUGUUUGCUCAUUCGCAUUAAUAUGUACAAAUCAUGUGUUCGUCUUUCAUUCUGUUAUAAUUCAGCUGGGCCUCUGAAUAUUUCAGCAUCACCAUUUACCGGUCUGUGAACCCACUUUCCCUUCUGCUUCCCCUCAUCUUGAACCAGAAGGGAAUCUCUUAGUCUUCCACUUCAUGGGGAGCUUUCAGAGAGAGUCAUUUGGUCACCUGGAAAGGACACCACCAGCCUACACAGUGACUGACAGGCUGCCCUGGCUCAGUUAUCACAGUGCUGAUGCUGUCCAUUCUAAAGGUACAGUACUGUGAUAACUGAAGGAUGGCAGCCAUCUUGCCUUCCAUCAAAGGAGCCAUCGUGCCCAGAAAAGAAGACCGAAGAUGAAAGAGGCGUGUGAAGCAGGUGCAGGGAUCCAGAAACCCUCUUACACCGUUCCUGUAUUGUACCUUCCCUAGCACGGAGUGAAUGUUACUCCCUCUGUCUUUGCCUUAUUUUUAACAUGGGGAUAAAGGGAGUUGGGUAGUUGUUUGCACAGCAGCAUGAACACUUAUACUGAAUUGACAUACAUUACAAUUUUUGGAGCUUUUAGGAGACUGACAUGAGUACUGAGUGUGAAUAAGUAUUUUGGGAGAGAGGUUCAGAGAAAUUUGUGCCAUUUUUAUAAAUAUAAAUGGUAACCUAAUUAGAGUAGCUUGGCGCUUGUCAAUAUAACCUACUCAAAGUGCAGUUCAGCUUAAAUAGGGAGAAAAAAGCCCUACAUGUUGAACAGUAUUGAUACAGUUCAGCGGUUUUCAACCUUUUUCAUCUCAUGGUACAUACAAACUAAUUACUAAAAUUCUGUGGCCAAUAUGACAAAAAAAAGUAGGUAUAAUGUUGAUACAUUGACAUCAGACAGCUUUCAUUGGGUGGAUGUUGUCAUUUGUUUGUUUGACAGUCUAAGGGGAAAGAGGUCGGUGCCCCUAAAUAAAUAAUCAGGUAUUGCAUGUUUUAAAAAUUCUUGUGGCACACUGGUUAAAAAUUGCUGAUGUAAUUGCAUGAAUAAAACUACAUCUUUUUGGUUAAGAAAUGGGUAUGGAUAUAGCAUAUUUUUUCCUAUAACAUAAAUGUUUAAAGUCUCAUGUAAUUCAAAACAGUGUCCGUUGAAUGCCCAUGUCUUUGCUGUUGGUAUCACCUUUACAUGAAAAUAAAAUGUUAUUUUUAUCAAGUAGUUAAGGACCACCCUGCAGUGACAUAGCACACACCUUCAACCUGCAUCUUAUUCUAGAGCAUACUGUUGGGGUGAGGUCACUAGAGAAGCCAGGGUUUCCCCCAUCCUUCCUCUCUUAAGACUCCUAAGACAUGGACAGCAGCAGAUGAGCAUCCGAGUGCACGACUAUCAUACCUUAGAUUGCAGCUGGCUACAGGGCUCAGGUAAUUUCAUGUAGUUUAGGCUCAAUGCCUAAAUAAGGACCUCUUACCUUUACCCAGGCUCAUGUCUAUCUGGGAACCUCACCAUAGUGGGUGGCCGACCAGUGAGGAACCCAGAGCAGUGACCCAUGUACUUGGGCACAGAGAGAACAAGGCCUGUGAAGGUCAGGCCCUUCUUGGACCUGCUGGUUACCCACAAGGUGAGACGAUCCAGCACGGAGGAAAACCAUGUAUGUGAUGUUUUAACGCACAAGAGUCCUAACCCGCUAAUCAAGAGUCCAGUCAUUGUCCUAGACUUGGGCCAUUUUUAUUAUGAAGUCCUAACUGAAACUUGAGUAAGGAGGAAAGGAAACAGGAAGCAAGUGGCAAGGCAGGGAGGCUCAGUUUCACCCUUCAUCAUCCAGUCCUCAGCAUUCCUGCUCACUGUUCCUUUGCUGGUUCACACAGUUCUCGCUAUGCUCUUCUCUCUUCUCCUGAAGCAACCCCCGACGGCACACCUGCUUGUCCCUGAGUUGUUAUUUUCCAUGUGGCGUUGACCACAUGAUGAUGCUGUAUCUCACGUGUCUUCAUAUACUUAGAAUUUCUCUAAACUGCAGCCUAGCCUUAUGUUUCUGAUUAAUUAUGGGGAGCAGUCAGUGGCUCUGCCCAGUUGUGUAGUAUCCCACCAGCCCUGCUCCUUUAACAGAAAAGGAAUUUCUGACAGGAACCCUGGAAGAACUUCUGAGAAAGGAAAGUUCUGGGAUUGGCGAACUCUCAAGUAAUUCAAAACACUCCUACUUUUAAGAAGUAUAGCAGGUGGAAAAGAGUGCUUUAGGGAGUGAGGUGUUGUGCAGUCAUUGGCCUUGGUGAGGGUUUCGCCACCUUGCCCGAUCUUCCUGUUUUCCCGUUACUAGUUCCAUAAAAAUUCAGGUUUUAUACUUACCCAACAUUGGUCCCAGGAUCCACACUCGAGUCUGUUGGGGUGUUACAGAGGUGAGUGUUGGGGCAUUUCUACAGACGGAGCCACACUGGGUCCCUCUUCCCAUCAGUAGGGAAGCUUGAAGCCGGUCUGCCUGUAGGAGCCCUAGGAGGCUUGCCUAGGCCUGGAGGUCCUAGCAUCCUGGAGGACUUCAGAGAUGCAGGGUUCCGACAGGCUAAGUGAGGAGUAAAGCAAGAGAAA
Molecule: long non-coding RNA, 5036 nt
Organism: Artibeus jamaicensis (Jamaican fruit-eating bat)
Lineage: Eukaryota; Metazoa; Chordata; Mammalia; Chiroptera; Phyllostomidae
Exons: 5
Source: RefSeq, a predicted model, not a curated record